This is a long non-coding RNA of Homo sapiens (human), 1237 nucleotides long. Ensembl annotates it as H19 imprinted maternally expressed transcript. Its record names the gene H19. The record is from Ensembl. Lineage: Eukaryota; Metazoa; Chordata; Mammalia; Primates; Hominidae.
UGUUCUGAGGUGAUCAUGACUGGGACCCAAGGACUCAAGCGCAUGCUCCAGAGGGAAUCGUUUCCCACAAGGCCUUUGGCAGGAACAGGGAUCCUGGGAGCCUGCCAAGCAGAGCGCACAGUGUUCCUGGAGUCUCGCUGCCCAGAUGCCACGGAAUCAGUUGAAGCCAGGUCUCCAGCUGGGGUGGACGUGCCCACCAGCUGCCGAAGGCCAAGACGCCAGGUCCGGUGGACGUGACAAGCAGGACAUGACAUGGUCCGGUGUGACGGCGAGGACAGAGGAGGCGCGUCCGGCCUUCCUGAACACCUUAGGCUGGUGGGGCUGCGGCAAGAAGCGGGUCUGUUUCUUUACUUCCUCCACGGAGUCGGCACACUAUGGCUGCCCUCUGGGCUCCCAGAACCCACAACAUGAAAGAAAUGGUGCUACCCAGCUCAAGCCUGGGCCUUUGAAUCCGGACACAAAACCCUCUAGCUUGGAAAUGAAUAUGCUGCACUUUACAACCACUGCACUACCUGACUCAGGAAUCGGCUCUGGAAGGUGAGCACCAGCGCUCCUUCCGGAAGCCUCCAGGCCCCCGAGCACCCUGCCCCCAUCCCACCCACGUGUCGCUAUCUCUAGGUGAAGCUAGAGGAACCAGACCUCAUCAGCCCAACAUCAAAGACACCAUCGGAACAGCAGCGCCCGCAGCACCCACCCCGCACCGGCGACUCCAUCUUCAUGGCCACCCCCUGCGGCGGACGGUUGACCACCAGCCACCACAUCAUCCCAGAGCUGAGCUCCUCCAGCGGGAUGACGCCGUCCCCACCACCUCCCUCUUCUUCUUUUUCAUCCUUCUGUCUCUUUGUUUCUGAGCUUUCCUGUCUUUCCUUUUUUCUGAGAGAUUCAAAGCCUCCACGACUCUGUUUCCCCCGUCCCUUCUGAAUUUAAUUUGCACUAAGUCAUUUGCACUGGUUGGAGUUGUGGAGACGGCCUUGAGUCUCAGUACGAGUGUGCGUGAGUGUGAGCCACCUUGGCAAGUGCCUGUGCAGGGCCCGGCCGCCCUCCAUCUGGGCCGGGUGACUGGGCGCCGGCUGUGUGCCCGAGGCCUCACCCUGCCCUCGCCUAGUCUGGAAGCUCCGACCGACAUCACGGAGCAGCCUUCAAGCAUUCCAUUACGCCCCAUCUCGCUCUGUGCCCCUCCCCACCAGGGCUUCAGCAGGAGCCCUGGACUCAUCAUCAAUAAACACUGUUACAGCAA